GGAAUCUUCCACAAUGGACGCAAGUCUGAUGGAGCAACGCCGCGUGAGUGAAGAAGGGUUUCGGCUCGUUAAAGCUCUGUUGUUAAAGAAGAACGUGGGUAAGAGUAACUGUUUACCCAGUGACGGUAUUUAACCAGAAAGCCACGGCUAACUACGUGCCAG
Molecule: ribosomal RNA, 162 nt
Filed under: uncultured bacterium
Lineage: Bacteria
Description: partial 16S rRNA
Rfam family: Bacterial small subunit ribosomal RNA
Source: RNAcentral